This 309-nucleotide ribosomal RNA is filed under the name uncultured bacterium. RNAcentral's name for it is "partial 16S ribosomal RNA". It matches the Rfam family "Bacterial small subunit ribosomal RNA", at positions 504 to 808 of the family's 1533-position model. The record is from RNAcentral.
AGAGACAGCAGCAGCCACGGGAAAACGAAGGGUGCAAGCGUUACUCGGAAUUACUGGGCGUAAAGCGUGCGUAGGUGGUGGUUUAAGUCCGUUGUGAAAGCCCUGGGCUCAACCUGGGAAUUGCAGUGGAUACUGGGUCACUAGAGUGUGGUAGAGGAUAGUGGAAUUUCCGGUGUAGCAGUGAAAUGCGUAGAGAUCGGAAGGAACAUCUGUGGCGAAGGCGACUAUCUGGGCCAACACUGACACUGAGGCACGAAAGCGUGGGGAGCAAACAGGAUUAGAUACCCCAUAGUCCCUGUCUCUUAUACA